GCUGAGACGGGAUCCCGGUUCGCUGAGAAGUGGUUCCGCUGCGGGACGCUCGGCCUUCUGGCUGCAGGAGACUUUGGGCUGUUUUUGUGCCAUGCACCCUUUACAGUGUGUCCUCCGCAUGCAGAGAUGUCAGAGGUGGGGGCCCUUGGCCUCCGUGUCCUGGGUGCUGCUCAGGACCUGCAGGGCACACAGUGGUCUCCCCAGUACUGCAUGUUCCAGUCCAGAGAGGCAACAGGAGGAUGGAGUUUGGAAAGAUUUCAGCUCCAGGCUGGCCACUGGACCGACUUUUCAGCAUUUUUUAAGAAAUGCUUCAGUUCCUCAAGAGAAACCGUCUUCAGAAGUGGACGACCCACCCCCGUAUCUCACAGUGGAUGAACUUUCAGGAAGACAGAGAAAAGUCUACCUUGAGACCUAUGGCUGCCAGAUGAAUGUGAAUGACACAGAGAUAGCCUGGUCCAUCUUACAGAAGAGUGGCUACCUGCGGACCAGUAACCUUCAAGAGGCUGAUGUGAUCCUCCUUGUCACGUGUUCUAUCAGGGAAAAGGCUGAACAGACCAUCUGGAAUCGUUUACAACAGCUCAAAGUUCUGAAGUCAAAACGGCUCCGCUCCCGAGUGCCUCUGAAGAUUGGGAUUCUAGGCUGCAUGGCUGAGAGAUUAAAGGAAGAGAUUCUCAACAGGGAGAAGAUGGUGGAUAUUUUGGCUGGUCCAGAUGCCUAUCGGGACCUUCCUCGGCUGCUUGCUGUUGCCAAAUCAGGCCAGCAAGCUGCCAACGUGCUGCUGUCUCUGGAUGAGACCUAUGCCGAUGUCAUGCCAGUCCAGAUGAGCCCCAGUGCCACUUCUGCCUUUGUGUCUAUCAUGAGAGGCUGUGACAACAUGUGCAGCUACUGCAUUGUACCUUUCACACGUGGCCGGGAGAGGAGUCGGCCUGUUGCCUCUAUAUUAGAGGAAGUGAGGAAGCUUUCUGAGCAGGGCCUGAAAGAAGUGACACUCCUUGGUCAGAAUGUUAAUAGUUUUCGGGACACUUCAGAGGUCCAGUUCAACAAUGCAGUGUCCACCAACCUCAGCCGUGGCUUUUCCAGCAACUAUAAAACCAAGCAAGGGGGCCUUCGUUUUGCUCACCUUCUAGAUCAGGUCUCCAGAAUAGAUCCUGAAAUGAGGAUCCGUUUUACCUCUCCCCACCCCAAGGAUUUUCCUGAUGAGGUUCUGCAGCUGAUUCAUGAGAGAGACAACAUCUGUAAACAGAUCCACCUACCAGCCCAGAGUGGAAGCAGCCGUGUAUUGGAGGCUAUGCGGAGGGGAUACUCAAGAGAAGCUUAUGUGGAAUUAGUUCAUCAUAUCAGAGAGUCUAUUCCAGGUGUGAGCCUCAGCAGUGAUUUCAUUGCUGGCUUUUGUGGUGAGACGGAGGAAGAUCACUUCCAGACCGUGUCUUUGCUUCAGGAAGUUCAGUACAACAUGGGCUUCCUCUUUGCCUACAGCAUGAGACAGAAGACACGGGCAUAUCACAGACUGAAGGAUGAUAUCCCGGAAGAGGUCAAGUUAAGGCGUUUGGAAGAACUUAUCACUGUCUUCCGAGAAGAAGCAACAAAAGCCAACAAGGCUUUUGUGGGUUGUACCCAGCUGGUGCUGGUGGAGGGGCUCAGUAAACGCUCUGCUACUGACCUGUGCGGCCGGAAUGAUGGAAACCUUAAGGUGAUCUUUCCUGAUGCAGAGAUGGAGGAUGUCACUAACUCUGGGCUCAGGGUCCGAGCUCAGCCUGGGGAUUAUGUGCUGGUGAAGAUCACCUCUGCCAGCUCUCAGACACUUAAAGGACAUGUUCUCUGCAGGACCACUCUGAAGGACUCCUCAACAUAUUGCUGACCUGAGUGGUUGGCCUCAGUCCUUCCCAACAGGAAGGGAGAUAUGACUGGUCACUAAUGAAAGAGGAUUUUUCUCUGCAGCAAUGAGUGGUAGACUGCCCAGAGCCUCUUGGCUCACGGACACCAGGCCACCAACAGCAUCAGUAGCUUCUGAGACCAAUGGCACUGGGAGCUUUGGGGACUGGUUGCUUCCCUUGCCCAGGAGACCACCAAGGCCACCAUCUCCAAGGAUACUGAGGGCUGAAGUGAUGUCUAACAGAGACAGCACAUCUAAGUUGGACACCGUGGAUAUCACUUCCCCCAGCACACCAGCCAGACUUACCUCCUCACACUUCAGCAGCUUCUCUAUCUUCAGGGGCAGGAUGGUGUUCAGAUCUGAAAAGGGUCAAGAGACACGUUCCUGCUGUUGGCUGCCCAUCUCUUCCAGCCAGUGGAACGUUUGCAGCUGGAGAGCCAGCACCUUGGAAUUGUGGGGUCCAUAGGCACUGUAUAUCAUGCCUCCUGGAAAUAUCAAUCCCUGCCUCUGCCUACCACAAGGUCGGUCUGCUGUUCCAGAAAUAUAUCUGUCCCCUCUUAAUAAUUAACAUUUAUUGGCACCUGCCUGAAGCCAACCUGGUGUUGUGUUACUCUAAAGUGAUUUGGGCAUGGAAAGAAGGGACCUAGUUUAGCUUUUGAGCCUAGUAACCUAGGAUAUGUAUAGUCUGGACUCUGCCCCUUGAAGACCAAGUAGCCUAGGGCAGGGUCUUCUGUUUCCUGAGCUCCAGUCUUGCCCCUGUCCAGGGGUGCAUGAUGGAACCUGCAGUGUGGGUCAUUGGUUUCAGGACAAAUGAGUGAUGGCUGAUUUUAAGUGCUGAGUGGGGCAGGAGGCAGCUAGGGAAGUGGUGGUGGAGCUGACAGAUCUGAAUCCCCUGUUCUCCAUCCAUGUGAUUUCUAUGCAAGUCCUUUUUCUUCUCUAGGCCUCAUUUUUCUAUUGUAGGUCAUUGGGAGGUUCUGCUACCUUUGACAAGCUGCCCCUACUAGGAUAACUCCUGCAUCAGCUCUAAUCCUCCUGCAGCAUGGUUGUCAUCAGGGGGAAGGAGGUGCUAACCACAUCCUUGCCUCCACACUGGAGGUGAGCAGGGUGGGGAGAAGUGGAAUCCUAGAAGAUGGUGGGGAAGGGAAGGAGGGUCAGGAGCCAACUCGGAGAGCCGUGAAGUCUCAUGAACCUCUGUGCCACUCUCGAUGGCCUGAGGAAGGAACUUGGAAGAAGAGGUAUUACAGCUGGAUGGUGGUCACCUUGCCCACCUCAGUGAAGAAGUUGAUUAGACAGAGGGACAACAUUCCUGGCCCUGCAGAGUAGCAGGAGGAAGAAGUCGGCUAGUAUCAGCCUGUGUUGAGUUGAGGAGCCAUGGCAUUUGGAGCCUUGCUGCUGCUUCCUGUGCCCAGGGCUCUGCACGCUGGAGAGCCUUUGCCUGUGAUGUGGAUACACCCCCAUUCUAGUUCUAUGCCCUAGAGAAUCUCUUGUGCACAUGCAUCCAGAGAGCUGCAUGAUAGCGUUCAGAUCAGCCUUGCUCAUAGUAGCACAAAAUUAAAAAAAAAAGGAAAUGAAAUAGAUGCGUAAAUCGUGGAGGACUCAUCAGGUACAAUAGUGCAGUAAAAGUGAAUGGACAAGUCCCUUUAUGAUUGGAUUACUUCAUUCUGUUGAUUCUUGUUUUGUGGUUGGCUUUAUUCCUUUGAUAACUAUGUAAAUUUAAAAAGCUAAAAGUCUAAACUGUUCUUAGAAACGGAUCAGUACAAUAUGUAAACUAAGGAAAGUCCAGUAUAUUGUGUAUUUGUAUUUACAUGCAGUAUAUUGUAUAUGUGCUGUCAAAUUGUAACAAUUCUACCCAAUAAAACUGAAAAAUGAAAAAAGAA
Camelus dromedarius (Arabian camel) is the source of this 3750-nucleotide RNA transcript. It is a transcript of the gene named CDK5 regulatory subunit associated protein 1, with no coding region annotated. The transcript is spliced from 15 exons. The record is from RefSeq and is a predicted model, not a curated record. Lineage: Eukaryota; Metazoa; Chordata; Mammalia; Artiodactyla; Camelidae.